RNAcentral lists this long non-coding RNA (3639 nucleotides) under Homo sapiens (human). RNAcentral's name for it is "non-protein coding lnc-NLRP2B-1:1". Lineage: Eukaryota; Metazoa; Chordata; Mammalia; Primates; Hominidae. The record is from RNAcentral.
AUCUUUAUGUUUAUAAAUUUAUUUAAUUUCCAAGACUUAUGUGUUCAUCUCAAUCCUUGACAUACUCAUCUGCCAGACACAAAAAAUAGUGGUCUAUUUAAGAGGCCUUAAUGAAUGACAACAUUUUUGAAAUAUGCUAUAUGAGUACAAAUAUUUCCAGAGCAAAGAGGGAAAACUGUUGAUUGGGUAGACAAUCAAAUUCCAAGCAUUUAUCUGAUUUACAGAAGUACAUCUACUUUUUGUUUUUCACUAAAUGAAUACAACCACUUUUAAUAUAUAUGUGGGUGUGGCUGUGUGCGUAUUUCAAAACACACACGCACACACAAUAAAGAAACAUUUCAUAGUGGCAAAAUUUUAGUGCACUGCCAAAGUGCUACAAUAACUGUCAUCCACAGACAUCCACAUGCAAACACUACUGGACUAGUACACUAGAGCAAAUAAGAGAGUAUUUAGCAAAACUCUCUGGCAAAAACUUUUAAAACGGAAGUAAUGAAACAGAAAUCCACUUCUAAUUUGAAGGCUUUAGAAAAUAAUCUUCAUUUUAAUCACAUAUACACAUAGUAUUAUCUAAGCUCAGAAAAUAACUUCUUCCUGUAUGCACAGAACUUCAAUGUACACUCAGUAAAUGUUAGCAUUUGAAGAAAAUGUGCCAUGAGGAGAAUGUCUGAGGGAUAAUGGCAGGAAAAAGAUAUAUCCAUUAUAAAAGAGGACAGAAAGGCAUAGCAAGGAUGGGGAUGUGCAGGAAAGGGAGGGGAGAGGGAAGAAAGUAAACUGACCAUAAAAGAAACCAAUUCAAAUGGAAAACAGCGACUAACCUUGACACAGGAAUGAAUCAUGAAGGCUGGAUGGGUAGACUGGGAGGGGUGAAAAGAAUGUAUAUUCUUUGUUUUAAGCUAUAUAUAAAAUUGUCAGAUUUAGCCAAAGCCUAGUUGGAAUGGGAGUUGGCUAAAUUACAUGAAAUGUAACACAGACAUUGCCAAAACUACUUCACAGGGUUGUUCUGAACAACGAGACACAAAUUGUGAAGAUGUUCCCCAAAUUGCAAAAUGCUACACUAAUGUAAGACAGAUAGUUUACACAAUAUUCCAGUUCAAUCUUUCCUUUCAACUCUGGGAAAUUACAAGUGCAAACAAUGAGAUCUACAGAGCACAGAAAGAAAAAAACCUCCACUGCUCCAUUAUCAGAUUUUCAGGGAACAGCAGGCUUCACAGUCACAGAGAAGCCUGACUUUCAAAACAGAGCAAAGAUGGUGACAAACUGAUCGAAUGGAGAGAUACGCUCUUAUGCAUGUGGGCAAUGUCCCCACUCCUGGUAUUACCCACAGCAAUUCUUAGAGGGAAAAUUAUUCAGUAGAGGGAAAAUUAUUCAGUAGAGGGAAGAGGGAGUAAACAGAUUCCCUUGCCUACUUCACCCUAAACUUCAUAAACCUCUUUUAUCUGCACAUGAAUAAGAUUAAACUACUCCAAUUAUUGUCUUAUAAAAGGAAGGACUGAGAGGAUAAAAAUGGUACAAAUUCACCAACAUAUGCCAAAACACAGAGUAUCUUUCCUUAACAUAAGAAACAGGAAGAGAAGAAAAUUUAACAGUGUGUCAGGUAUGUGUGUGCAUUGUUAUAAUCAGUUAAAAGCUAGAAAACUGAAGCUUAAUAACUAAUUUAUUCAAGGCCACUUAUCCAACACCACAGAGCCAAAAUUUAGCCCUGGGUCUGUUUCAUGUCAAAGUCCUGGCUGGCAAUUUCCACAAAACUGCCUUCCAUCAUCAAAAGAAGUUAGGAAGAUAAACAGUGAGAACAGCCAACACAUUUUUUUGCUAUCUAUUUUUUCUUGUUAGUUCUAUGACUAUUUAAGAAAAUAUUUUGGCAUUGAAUAAUAUUUCUAUUACAUAGCAUUUCCUCCUUUGCUAAUGCUUAGUAACUCUACAAAGAUGACUCAUCAUAUCAGAAGCAUCAUGAAUUAAUGCAUUUAUCUGCAGCAGCUGCUAAUACCACAAAAAGAGAGAAAACCACAGAUUAUGCGCCACCUACUAAAUGAACACAACAUAACCUAUGAAACAUUCAUGCCAAAAGCCAUGUUUCAAUCUCAUCAAGUCUCUAGACAUAACUAGCAAAUUAAAGAAACAGAGGAUAGAGGAAAGCAAACAUUACCAUAGGGAUGCAAUUAGCAAAACUUAAAUUGUGGCAAAUGCUACAUGUGAAACAACCUCAUUUCAUAAACAAAAUCGCAAGGAAAAAAAGAAAGAUGAAAGGGAAACAUACGGAUUAAGAAGACACUUAGGAGAUUUACGGGAUUCUACUAAUUAAAAAUAAUAAAACAAGUAGCAUUUAUGAGGCAAUUGGAAGUUUGAACCCUCACUGGAUAUUUACUGAUAUUAAAGAAUUACUGUAAAUAUCACUUGCGAUAAUGGAAUUAUCAUUUUUUUCCAUAUCAUCCCAUAGCUUUCAGAGAUAUAUAAAGAAUAUUUAUGGAUAAAAUGAUCAGAUGUCUGCUAUUUGUUACAAAAUAAUACUAGAACAUGGGGAGUGAGUGAGGCUAAGUUAAAAAAGAUUGUUCAUGGAUUCAUAAUUGCUGAAAUUGAGUGAAAAGUACAUGGAUGUUCAUCAUAGUAUGAUGUAACAUUAUGUAUGUUUGCCAAAAAAAGAACAUGUCAGGGCUGGGGGGGCAGUUAAAAAAAAACGCAUGCCACAUCACUGAAAAACGUCCUCAUAUUUUUCAAGGAAAGAAAUGUAUUAUCAAGGAAUCACAGAGCAGAAAGACCUUAAAAGCAAUCUAUUCAAACCACCUCAAUUUAUAAAUAAGGAAAUUAAGGCUCAGAUAGGUUAACUGACUUGCUCAGGGUCACACAACUUGUCAGUUCCAAACUCAAGAUCAGAAUUUAAAUCUCCAAACUUGUAGUCCAGGGCUGUGCUCUUUUUGCAAACCAAAAAGAAAUGACUGCACUUAAAUAUUUAGUCCAGAAUAUCCUCAAAAUUGACUGUAAUAAAAGUAAGCCACAUGAUGAGGAAUGAAUAGAGUUGGUUCAUACCAAAAAUGAGCUGCCAGUCACAGUGAUAAGAUCUGUUUCUUUCUGAGAACCAUGGUUUCCUGCUGCAUUGGGGAAUCCAAACUGGGUUUCUCCCUCCUGUCCAAAGAAGUCAGAGUCAGGAUGUACGUUCCACUCCGCUUUGGUUGGUGUCAGUAGUUCUGAGACACUGUUUUCACAAAGGGUGCUCGAAGGAGUCAGAGCAUCUGUGUCCACUGUUAGCUUACUGCUGGGUGUCAAAGCCUGAGGCUCUGGACUGGAGUUUUUCAUGGCCACCGUUCCAAAAAAGAGAGAGGUAUCCAGACUUUGAGGAGGGUCGCUGGUGGCCAUCAAGGACGGAGGGUCCACAGCCUGCCCUACGGAAUUAUUAUUAUUAGCAGGGAGGUGCCCUGCCAGAGUCGAGCUCACAGAAGCCACAUCAAUAGUCAAGAUUCCAGAGUUCACCAAUGCUGUGUCCAGCAAUGCAGCAGAAGUACUGUCAGGUACAUCAGAGAAGAGAGACACUAUCUCUGCAUCACUGAGAUCAUUCUGUCUCUGGCUGGUAAGUUCACUGCUGGGUGUGAGAGAAUUUGCUGCUUCUAGCUGAGCUAAGAGAUCCUGGCCCACCUUAUGCCUUUUAAC